ACAACAUGUGAUCUUCAUUUGAGUCUUCUUCGAGACUCACAUGUGCCUUCUCUUUCUUCUUUGAGUAGCACUGAUUUGCAAAGUGGCCUAACUUGCCACAAUUGUAACACUCCUUGUUACUUAUGUGAUCCUUCUUUGAAUCAUCCUUCUUCUGUUUCCUCAGACACUCGCUCUCAUUGUGGUUGUUCCUCUAGCAGAAACCGCACCACUUCUUGCCUCCCUGGCGCUUUGAGUUGUCUUGUGUAACACCAGAAUUUUUGUGUUUAACACGAGCAUCGAAUGCUCCUUCACUGGUGCUUUCUUCUCUUGCAGCCAGCCUUGCUUCAUGAGCCUUCAAGAUCCCGAUCAAUUCUGUCAUCUUUGUUGAAGUCAAAUCGCUUGUUUGCUCCAACACACUGACUAUGCUAUCGAACUUGGCUGGGAGAGAGAUGAGUAUCUUCUGUAUAAGUUGAACAUCCGACUUCUGUUCACCAUGAUA
RNAcentral lists this long non-coding RNA (478 nucleotides) under Brassica napus (rape). RNAcentral describes it as "long non-coding RNA (BNAP_LNC014094)". Lineage: Eukaryota; Viridiplantae; Streptophyta; Magnoliopsida; Brassicales; Brassicaceae. The record is from RNAcentral.